AUUGAACGCUGGCGGCAGGCCUAACACAUGCAAGUCGAACGAGUGGCGGACGGGUGAGUAAUGUCUGGGAAACUGCCUGAUGGAGGGGGAUAACUACUGGAAACGGUCGCUAAUACCGCAUACCAUCGGAUGUGCCCAUAUGGGAUUAGCUAGUUGGUGGGGUAAAGGCUCACCUAGGCGACGAUCCCUAGCUGGUCUGAGAGGAUGACCAGCCAGACUGGGAGCUAGAGACGGUCCAGCACCCAACGGGGGGGAGGAAGGGGGAAUAUUGCACAAUGGGCGCAAGCCUGAUGCAGCCAUGCCGCGUGUAUGAAGAAGGCCUUCGGGUUGUAAAGUACUUUCAGCGGGGAGGCGUUACCCGCAGAAGAAGCACCGGCUAACUCCGUGCCAGCAGCCGCGGUAAUAC
Molecule: ribosomal RNA, 406 nt
Filed under: uncultured bacterium
Lineage: Bacteria
Description: partial 16S ribosomal RNA
Rfam family: Bacterial small subunit ribosomal RNA
Source: RNAcentral